GGAGAAACGACACCGCGCCGCCGCCCACUCACAGUGCCGCCACCUGACUCCUCCUCAACGCGCCACCGACCAACUCAUCGGCACCGACGUACCUCCUCCGCCGGCUUCUCCCCGAUGGUUGUGGUAGAUAUGUUGUUCACCCUGCUUCAUCCAGGCUGCUGCUUGUGGAACUGUGCGAAGAAUGGAAUACUUGGCUGCUUGUGAGAUGAUGGGCUGGCUGAGUCCGAGCAGUGAACUACUAGGAAGAGGAACCCAUAAGCAUCUAGAUGGAUGGAGAGGCUAUCAUCUGAGAAGUCAUCCAUUACCCAGCUUAAGCCAAUACAGGUUACACUCCAAACAGACCGGGCAAGUGAUUGUCUCUCUGUAGAUAUUAUAUAGGC
Long non-coding RNA from Triticum aestivum (bread wheat), 380 nucleotides. RefSeq lists it as uncharacterized. Lineage: Eukaryota; Viridiplantae; Streptophyta; Magnoliopsida; Poales; Poaceae. The record is from RefSeq and is a predicted model, not a curated record. The transcript is spliced from 3 exons.